UGGGCGCCCUGGGGCCCGGCGAGGCCUUGAGGCGACGGCACUCUUACGAGGACAAGCCCUUCACCUUCAGACCUAAUGAGGCGAGGGAACAGCAUGUACAAAGGCCCAGCGGCAGGAGGGUGUGCGGGUUCCUCGCUCUUCCCCCCUCCACUCUUGAAGAAACCAAUUGCCUUGAGAGUGCGGCGGACCUGGUGCAAGUCUUGGCUAUCACUUUUGAGUUGUGUGACCCUAGAGCUGGGCAGGAGACAGGAGAGUCUGAACAGAAGACUUGGGCCACAAAGCACAAACAAAGGGAUGGGAGACGGUUCAAAGAAGAAAAAGCAGUGAUUCCUUGGAGGCACACAGACGUCAUCUCCCUCCCUCCUUCCC
Molecule: long non-coding RNA, 369 nt
Organism: Odocoileus virginianus texanus
Lineage: Eukaryota; Metazoa; Chordata; Mammalia; Artiodactyla; Cervidae
Source: RefSeq, a predicted model, not a curated record